CUUCGGGGUGGAUUAGUGGCGAACGGGUGAGUAACACGUGGGCAAUCUGCCCUUCACUCUGGGACAAGCCCUGGAAACGGGGUCUAAUACCGGAUACGACCGCGGGAGGCAUCUCCUGUGGUGGAAAGCUCCGGCGGUGAAGGAUGAGCCCGCGGCCUAUCAGCUUGUUGGUGGGGUAAUGGCCUACCAAGGCGACGACGGGUAGCCGGCCUGAGAGGGCGACCGGCCACACUGGGACUGAGACACGGCCCAGACUCCUACGGGAGGCAGCAGUGGGGAAUAUUGCACAAUGGGCGAAAGCCUGAUGCAGCGACGCCGCGUGAGGGAUGACGGCCUUCGGGUUGUAAACCUCUUUCAGCAGGGAAGAAGCGCAAGUGACGGUACCUGCAGAAGAAGCGCCGGCUAACUACGUGCCAGCAGCCGCGGUAAUACGUAGGGCGCAAGCGUUGUCCGGAAUUAUUGGGCGUAAAGAGCUCGUAGGCGGCUUGUCACGUCGGGUGUGAAAGCCCGGGGCUUAACCCCGGGUCUGCAUCCGAUACGGGCAGGCUAGAGUGUGGUAGGGGAGAUCGGAAUUCCUGGUGUAGCGGUGAAAUGCGCAGAUAUCAGGAGGAACACCGGUGGCGAAGGCGGAUCUCUGGGCCAUUACUGACGCUGAGGAGCGAAAGCGUGGGGAGCGAACAGGAUUAGAUACCCUGGUAGUCCACGCCGUAAACGUUGGGAACUAGGUGUUGGCGACAUUCCACGUCGUCGGUGCCGCAGCU
This 761-nucleotide ribosomal RNA is filed under the name Streptomyces tanashiensis. Its description in RNAcentral is "bacterial SSU rRNA". It matches the Rfam family "Bacterial small subunit ribosomal RNA", at positions 80 to 853 of the family's 1533-position model. Lineage: Bacteria; Bacillati; Actinomycetota; Actinomycetes; Kitasatosporales; Streptomycetaceae. The record is from RNAcentral.